UUUCCAGACUCCUACGGGAGGCAGCAGUGGGGAAUAUUGCACAAUGGGGGGAACCCUGAUGCAGCGACGCCGCGUGGGUGAAGGAGUACUUCGGUACGUAAAGCCCUAUCAGCAGGAAAGAAAAUGACGGUACCUGACUAAGAAGCCCCGGCUAACUACGUGCCAGCAGCCGCGGUAAUACGGAGGAUGCGAGCGUUAUCCGGAUUUAUUGGGUUUAAAGGGUGCGCAGGCGGAUUUUUAAGUCAGCGGUCAAAUCGUGGGGCUCAACCCCAUCCAGCCGUUGAAACUGGGGAUCUAGAGUGUGCGAGAGGUAUGCGGAAUGCGUGGUGUAGCGGUGAAAUGCAUAGAUAUCACGCAGAACCCCGAUUGCGAAGGCAGCAUACCGGUGCACAACUGACGCUCAGGCACGAAAGCGUGGGUAUCGAACAGGAUUAGAUACCCUUGUA
RNAcentral lists this ribosomal RNA (446 nucleotides) under uncultured bacterium. Its description in RNAcentral is "partial 16S ribosomal RNA". It matches the Rfam family "Bacterial small subunit ribosomal RNA", at positions 328 to 792 of the family's 1533-position model. The record is from RNAcentral.